Molecule: long non-coding RNA, 1073 nt
Organism: Triticum dicoccoides
Lineage: Eukaryota; Viridiplantae; Streptophyta; Magnoliopsida; Poales; Poaceae
Exons: 2
Source: RefSeq, a predicted model, not a curated record
UGGAUGGACACGUUGUGUUCUUGGUCUUUCUGGUGGGUUCUUUUUUCAUCUCCUUUUGCUUGCCUAUAAGUAGCUCCUUGCUAUGUUGGUCCUUCAUUCAGUUUCCACGUCCUUCCCUAGAUUGGUCUUCUCAAUUCAGUUUUUGCCUCACUGCCGCAUCCAUUCUCUCUAGGCUCUAGCACCGUCUUGCCUCCGGCAAUUGGAGACGAAGCAUCUGGUCAUGGAAAGCCGCAUCAGGACGUUCGGUCCGGUGGUCAUGGCGCACCAUGAUGGUCCGCCGCCUACAGCCGACGCACCGGAGUGCACAGUAGCAAGCACCAGUUUGAGGUGAGGAUAUCGCAUUGGUCUCCUGUUGCUCACAUGCGAGGCCUCGGACGAGCGGCCAAAUCCACGUGAGGUGGAUGUUGCAGGCACGGCCAUCUCCCCUUCCUUCCUUCCUUCUUUUUCCCUCCAACUACCAUGUUAUCUUUACCAUGUCUUCUUUCCUUGUUGUAUUGUUUUUUCACCCAUGGGGAUAGAGAUGUUACCUCAGUCGGCAAUGAAGCCAGUGAUUUGUAUCCAAUAAUUUUCGUUAAUACGGUAACAACUUAUUUCAGUCCACCUGACGGAACGAGUCUCUAUCUGAUGAUGUCAGAACUUACAGAAAGUUUCUAAAAUAAAUUAGGACAUGGUAUUUUUCUUCACUCUUGAUUUGUUCCAUUUGUAUUAUCCGCUCCGCCCUAGGUUCGUCCCCAAAAUUAUAAAAUUUGGAGCCUCCCGUUGAAGGUCCAAGGAGGUGGAAGCAUGAACAAUGCCCUCAUCAAAUCAACUUAAUUGGAUUCGAAUUGAAGGAUGACUUUUGAGAAAAGGUAGUACGUAACUUCAUUUAUAUUAUGCACUUGGUAGGGAUAUUCUCAAGGAAUUGCAAGAUGAUGGGCUAUACACUUCACAUAGCCUGAGACCAUGACUCUUCACUGGAAUAAAAACAGAUGCGUGAGAUGAUAGAUCGGGACAGACAUGCAUGCUCCAAGUUGUGAGCAGUUUUGUUUUUCAGAGAGAUGUUUAUCCUGGAAUGGAAAAUUUUCUUUUGAAUA